This 459-nucleotide ribosomal RNA is filed under the name uncultured bacterium. RNAcentral describes it as "partial 16S ribosomal RNA". It matches the Rfam family "Bacterial small subunit ribosomal RNA", at positions 338 to 795 of the family's 1533-position model. The record is from RNAcentral.
CCUACGGGAGGCAGCAGUGAGGAAUAUUGGUCAAUGGGAGAGAUCCUGAACCAGCCAAGCCGCGUGAGGGAAGACGGCCCUAUGGGUUGUAAACCUCUUUUGUCGGAGAACAAAACCCGGGACGUGUCCCGUACUUCGUGUAUCCGAAGAAAAAGCAUCGGCUACCUCCGUGCCAGCAGCCGCGGUAAUACGGGGGAUUCGAGCGUUAUCCUGAUUUAUUGGGUUUAAAGGGUGCGUAGGCGGUCCGUUAAGUCAGCGGUAAAAUUGCGGGGCUCAACCCCGUCGAGCCGUUGAAACUGGCAGACUUGAGUUGGCGAGAGGUACGCGGAAUGCGCGGUGUAGCGGUGAAAUGCAUAGAUAUCGCGCAGAACUCCGAGUGCGAAGGCAGCGUACUGGCGCCAGACUGACGCUGAGGCACGAAAGCGUGGGGAUCGAACAGGAUUAGAUACCCUAGUAGUC